RNAcentral lists this ribosomal RNA (447 nucleotides) under Triticum aestivum (bread wheat). RNAcentral's name for it is "partial small subunit ribosomal RNA". The record is from RNAcentral. Lineage: Eukaryota; Viridiplantae; Streptophyta; Magnoliopsida; Poales; Poaceae.
AUGAUCUUGACAAAGAUCUGCAUGCCGCCACAGAGGUGCCUCCCGAGCCCUGGGUCCAAUGUAGUUGUUGGCAGCGUUUGGAACCCUUGGGCUCAAUGGUGGCUCGCUCUGCUGGUGUUGGGCAAGCUACCCCGGCAAGGCUCUUGCCGGGGCCGCGGAGGCCGCCCUGGCAAGGGUCUUGCCGGGGGAGUCCACCUCACCCCUUUACUCUUUUAUGCGUCUGGUCUUGGCGUCGCCUUGUUUGUCUUGUGCUUUGGUUUCUCUCCGGCUUCUCUCCUCUUCCUUGUUAAGUGUGGCCGCGGGCGUGGCUCUGACUGCCCGUGCACAAGUAAAGGGGUCAAAAGGAGAGCCCCUACUUUUGUACACCGACACACCUUUUUUCAUAUUCACUUAUUAAAAUCAAUUCUAUCUUCGGGAAAUCAUAAAAUUAUAGCUAAUCAUAAAUAA